Molecule: long non-coding RNA, 1456 nt
Organism: Mastomys coucha (southern multimammate mouse)
Lineage: Eukaryota; Metazoa; Chordata; Mammalia; Rodentia; Muridae
Exons: 2
Source: RefSeq, a predicted model, not a curated record
CUGGUGACCCACCCCUGGGUUCCUGAGCAGGACUGGGGUCCCUGGCAACGGUUCCACCUUUUCCAUCUUUGAGGAAUCUUGCAGGUGACCUCACAAUUGGUAUGACACUUGUGAGUUCUGUUGCAAAUGAGGAGUCUUGUUUUUAUUUCUCAGGCUUCUCUCCAGCCGUGAGGGAAAUUCUGAAAUGGCUGCUCCUACUGCCCUGACUUUUAAAUUAAAGACUUCUGAAGUAAGGAGAACUGUUUAUGAGUGAGAACCGAAUUAAAGAUUACAGUUAAGCAGCCUGACUCAUUGGCCACCUGAGGGUGAUUCAUCGGAAGGGAAUAUCCAUCCAAAGCCGUUAUUGUAGUGACCAAUUAAGACCCACCGUGACUUCCUGUGUCUCAGGUUUUUGCUUGCCAGCUUAGCACAAAGGCUCAGACGUGGAACAAAGGGCCCGAGUGAAUGCUUCCAUAAACAGGCACGGAAUGAUUGUAGCUCUCCACUGAUGGAUAACCCGCUCAAGCUGGCCUGCAACACAAUCUCUCUCUCCAGCCUGUGAAACUCCUUCUCCUACAACAAAUCCUGAUGGAAUAGCCAGGGCGCAUCACUAUGGGACAACAGAGAACGUUGCAUCAGACUCAACAACCCAGGUUGAUUUGGGUCCUGCUUCUUUGUGCUGCAAAGCACAGGCGGGUCACCUCUCUCCCCUGAGUUUUAUUUGCGCUAAACUGAGAUACCAAUAGCAUUCGGUUAACAUGUCUGUGGCGGAGAUAAUGAGUGUGGAAAGAUCUAAACAGCUCUACACACCCUCUGUAACCGUCCUCUCAGAUGAGCCGGAAGCUCACUCAGCCUCAAGUUUCAGUGCUCAAAGCUGGCUUGGUUUAAAUUUAAAGACGAAGGUCCAGAUAUAAUUUCGAAUUAGAAGGAGGAAGACUCCGGAAGUCCUUUGCCCCGGGCGAUUUGCUAAAGACCUCGUAGCUGCCUAUAAAUAAGUAGAUCUUUGGUUUUAUUUUUAAGUGGUUCUUGUCACCCCCUACUUAUGCCAGAAGUCUGAGUUGUAUUUAGUGUUGACUGGACUCUUACUGAGAUUCCCCUCAAGCUCCUCUCAGCUUACUCCUCUCUUCCUUCACUCCACAAACAGAAAACCUGCCUUUGCAACAGGAAGUGACGUCACGGGACUCUCCGCUAAGGAGGAAGCACAAACAAACUGGGAACUAAGGAUGCAAAUGGACAAAGGCCAGCCGGCAAGGCCAAGGACCACCGCCAGAUUUAGAAUGAGUCCACGCUGAUGUAAACAUCUGAAUACUCCACAGCACACUCACUAGUGAGCCAGCAAAUGCCCAGGCCUAAGGUUGGGCUUAGCUGGGCAUGGUCUCCUCACAGAUGAGGAAACCAAGGCUCUAUGGAUAGGCAGAGGCGACAUGGAAAUUUCAUUGUACAAUUUCUACUUAUUUGCAGAAGAAUCCUGAUUUUU